RNAcentral lists this small RNA (305 nucleotides) under Histoplasma ohiense. Its description in RNAcentral is "hypothetical lncRNA". The record is from RNAcentral. Lineage: Eukaryota; Fungi; Ascomycota; Eurotiomycetes; Onygenales; Ajellomycetaceae.
UAUAUCUUUUGGGUGAAGUUCAAAAUCUUUUCCUGCCUCAUCUGGCAUUAGAUUGUCUAACUAAUGAUAACUGGUUACUUUUGUUGCGAAUGAAUAAAUUACUAAGCUUCCCUGUCUUCCUAUGUGGAUAUUCGAAAUUGUUAAGUGGAGUAUUUUACCAACACACGACAGAUUCAAAACGGAUCAUGAGAAACGCCACAACAACUCAGGAAAGGAAGCCUCAAGAGUACAAUAAAGGCAAUUUAAAGUAGAGAAACCAGAAACUAUAAAUCGCACACAGCUAAAAUCACAAAACACAGAACAAG